RNAcentral lists this ribosomal RNA (252 nucleotides) under uncultured bacterium. RNAcentral's name for it is "partial 16S ribosomal RNA". It matches the Rfam family "Bacterial small subunit ribosomal RNA", at positions 524 to 776 of the family's 1533-position model. The record is from RNAcentral.
UACAGAGGUCUCAAGCGUUGUUCGGAUUCAUUGGCGUAAAGGGUGUGUAGGUGGCGCCGUAAGUCGGGUGUGAAAUUUCGGAGCUUAACUCCGAAACUGCAUUCGAUACUGCGGUGCUUGAGGACUGGAGAGGAGACUGGAAUUCAUGGUGUAGCAGUGAAAUGCGUAGAGAUCAUGAGGAAGACCAGUGGCGAAGGCGGGUCUCUGGACAGUUCCUGACACUGAGACACGAAGGCCAGGGGAGCAAACGGG